This 871-nucleotide small RNA is filed under the name Pongo abelii (Sumatran orangutan). RNAcentral describes it as "retained intron". The record is from RNAcentral. Lineage: Eukaryota; Metazoa; Chordata; Mammalia; Primates; Hominidae.
GGGCAGGGGUCCCUGGCGGCUUCCGGGUGGCCCACGGCGUCCUCGGAAGAUGCAGGCGGACGCCCGUGUGUCCUGCUAGCGUGACGUCGCAGGGGUGGCCGCAGAGUCCUCACGGGGACCCCACUCGCCGGGACUCAUGGAGGGGACCCUGACGGGGCAGUCAGGGCUGAGCUUUCCUAAUCCUGUGUGUUUCUUUUUCCCCGACGCCCAGCAGAGGAGCCCUCGGAGGCGCCCUCGCCCCCGCCGCCCGCAGAGGCUCCCAAAGAGCCGCCGCAGCCCGAGCCCACCCCGCCGAGGCCCAGCGGCCCCGCAACCCCAGACGACCCUGGGCGACGGCCGUCCGCGGGCCAUCGGCCCGUCCUGCCUCAUUGGCCUGUCCUGCCCCAGCGGCCCCUGCUGCCGCGGCCCCCCGAGGAGAGGCCGCCCCCGCCCGCCUGGCCCGGCCGGAAUGCGCUGCCCCAGCUGCCAGGCUCCACUGGGGUCAUCAUGGAGACGGGCCAGGCCGGGCCUCCCGCAGGCGCAGGCGUGUCUGGGCGGGGUCUGCCGCGGGGCGUGGAUGGCCAGACCGGGAGCGGGACCGUCCCCAGCGCAGAAGGCUUUGCGGGCGCACCAGGAUACCCGAAGUCACCUCCUGUAGCUUCCCCAGGAGCUCCGGUGCCUUCUCUGGUGUCUUUUUCUGCGGGGCUCACCCAGAAGCCUUUCCCCAGCGAUGGGGGAGUUGUCCUCUUUAACAAAGUGCUGGUGAACGACGGGGACGUUUACAAUCCCAGCACGGGGGUCUUCACGGCUCCUUAUGAUGGGCGUUACCUGAUCACGGCGACCCUCACCCCCGAGAGAGACGCCUACGUGGAAGCAGUGCUGUCAGUCUCCA